This 213-nucleotide unclassified non-coding RNA is filed under the name plant metagenome. Its description in RNAcentral is "partial contains small subunit ribosomal RNA, internal transcribed spacer 1, and 5.8S ribosomal RNA". The record is from RNAcentral.
UUUCCGUAGGUGAACCUGCGGAAGGAUCAUUCAUAAUAAGUGUUUUAUGGCACUUUUUUAAAUCCAUAUCCACCUUGUGUGCAAUGUCAGGGUUGAUUUUUCUCUCGAGAGGAUCAACCCCAAACAUCAACUAUAUCUCAACCCUUUGUCUGAAAAAUAUUAUGAAUAAAACAAUUCAAAAUACAACUUUCAACAACGGAUCUCUUGGCUCUC